RNAcentral lists this ribosomal RNA (955 nucleotides) under Kurtia argillacea. Its description in RNAcentral is "eukaryotic LSU rRNA". It matches the Rfam family "Eukaryotic large subunit ribosomal RNA", at positions 34 to 954 of the family's 3401-position model. Lineage: Eukaryota; Fungi; Basidiomycota; Agaricomycetes; Hymenochaetales. The record is from RNAcentral.
UUAAGCAUAUUAGUAGGCGGAGGAAAAGAAACCAACCGGGAUUCCCCUAGUAACUGCGAGUGAAGAGGGAUUAGCUCAAAUUUAAAAUCUGGCGGGUUCCCCGUCCGAGUUGUAAUUUGAAGAGGUGUCGACCGCGCCGGACCACGUGAAAGUCUCCUGGAAUGGAGCGUCACAGAGGGUGAUAAUCCCGUAUUUGACGUGGACUACCGGGGCUUUGUGUUGCGCCCUCAAUGAGUCGGGUUGCUUGCGAAUGCAGCCCAAAAUGGGUGGUAAAUUCCAUCUAAGGCUAAAUACCGGUGGGAGACCGAUAGCGAACAAGUACCGCGAGGGAAAGAUGAAAAGAACUCUGGAAAGAGAGUCAAACAGUAUGUGAAAUCGUCAGGAGGGAAACGCUUGAAGUGGGCGUACGCGGGUGGGAAUCAGGUUGGGGCUUCGGCCCUUGCUGUACUUCCCUCUUGCGGGCCAACAUCAGCUCUGGUCGGCGUAAAAGGUCGGAGGGAAUGUGGCGCCCUUCGGGGCGUGUUAUAGCCUUUCGUUCCCCGCGUCGGUCGGGACUGACGAGUUGCCGUCGCGCGGAUCUUCCGCACGGGUGCCUCCCCUCAUGGUGGUGCGACGCGAUGUUGGUUGGUCGGCUUUAAGCGACCCGUCUUGAAACACGGACCAAGGAGUGCAACACAUGCGCGAGUGUUCGGGUGGAAAACCCAAGCGCGCAGCAAAAGCGAUGUCCGGGAAUCCUUACGGAGGCACCGGAGCCCGGCCCAAAAGCGCGACGCAAGUCAAGUAGACGGUGCCGAGGCAGAGCGCAUGUGCUGCGACCCGAAAGAUGGUGAACUAUGCCCGGGUAGGGUGAAGCCGGAGGAAACUCCGGUGGAGGCCCGCAGCGAUUCUGACGUGCAAAUCGAUCGUCUGAUCUGGGUAUAGGGGCGAAAGACCAAUCGAACCAUCUAGUAGCUGG